RNAcentral lists this ribosomal RNA (736 nucleotides) under uncultured bacterium. RNAcentral's name for it is "bacterial SSU rRNA". It matches the Rfam family "Bacterial small subunit ribosomal RNA", at positions 28 to 746 of the family's 1533-position model. The record is from RNAcentral.
GAUGAACGCUGGCGGUGUGUUCUAAUCAUGCAAGUCGAACGCGCAGCGAGAGGUGCUUGCACCUUUCAAGCGAGUGGCGAACGGGUGAGUAACACGUGGAUAACCUGCCUCAAGGCUGGGGAUAACAUUUGGAAACAGAUGCUAAUACCGAAUAAAACUUAGUAUCGCAUGAUAUCAAGUUAAAAGGCGCUACGGCGUCACCUAGAGAUGGAUCCGCGGUGCAUUAGUUAGUUGGUGGGGUAAAGGCUUACCAAGACGAUGAUGCACAGCCGAGUUGAGAGACUGAUCGGCCACAUUGGGACUGAGACACGGCCCAAACUCCUACGGGAGGCUGCAGUAGGGAAUCUUCCACAAUGGGCGCAAGCCUGAUGGAGCAACGCCGCGUGUGUGAUGAAGGCUUUCGGGUCGUAAAGCACUGUUGUAUGGGAAGAAAUGCUAAAAUAGGGAAUGAUUUUAGUUUGACGGUACCAUACCAGAAAGGGACGGCUAAAUACGUGCCAGCAGCCGCGGUAAUACGUAUGUCCCGAGCGUUAUCCGGAUUUAUUGGGCGUAAAGCGAGCGCAGACGGUUGAUUAAGUCUGAUGUGAAAGCCCGGAGCUCAACUCCGGAAUGGCAUGGGAAACUGGUUAACUUGAGUGUUGUAGAGGUAAGUGGAACUCCAUGUGUAGCGGUGGAAUGCGUAGAUAUAUGGAAGAACACCAGUGGCGAAGGCGGCUUACUGGACAACAACUGACGU